RNAcentral lists this unclassified non-coding RNA (240 nucleotides) under soil metagenome. RNAcentral describes it as "partial contains 5.8S ribosomal RNA, internal transcribed spacer 2, and large subunit ribosomal RNA". The record is from RNAcentral.
AAGACUAUAGACCUGCGGAGUACCUGCGGAGGGAUCAUUAUUGAAUAAGAAUGGUAGGCUGUAGCUGGCUUUUCGAAGCAUGUGCACGCCUGCUGUCUUAAUCUAUCCUCCUGUGCAUCUCUUGUAGUCUUAUAGGCAGAGUGACCAUGGAACCUCUUCCCAGAGGUCUCUGUGGACAAUAGCUAUGCUUGCGGGUCUAUGUCUUUCAUAUACCUUGUAGUAUGUUACAGAAUGUAAUGG